RNAcentral lists this ribosomal RNA (253 nucleotides) under uncultured bacterium. Its description in RNAcentral is "partial 16S ribosomal RNA". It matches the Rfam family "Bacterial small subunit ribosomal RNA", at positions 524 to 776 of the family's 1533-position model. The record is from RNAcentral.
UACGUAGGGUGCAAGCGUUGUCCGGAAUCAUUGGGCGUAAAGCGCGCGUAGGCGGCCCGGUAAGUCCGCUGUGAAAGUCCAGGGCUCAACCCUGGAAAGCCGGUGGAUACUGUCGGGCUAGAGUCCGGAAGAGGCGAGUGGAAUUCCUGGUGUAGCGGUGGAAUGCGCAGAUAUCAGGAGGAACACCGAUGGCGAAGGCAGCUCGCUGGGACGGUACUGACGCUGAGGCGCGAAAGCGUGGGGAGCGAACAGG